UACGUAGGGGGCUAGCGUUGUCCGGAAUCAUUGGGCGUACAGCGCGUGUAGGUGGUCCGGUAAGUCCGCUGUGAAAGUCGGGGGCUCAACCCUCGAAUGCCGGUGGAUACUGCCAGACUAGAGUACGGAAGAGGCGAGUGGAAUUCCUGGUGUAGCGGUGAAAUGCGCAGAUAUCAGGAGGAACACCCAGUGCGAAAGCAGCUCGCUGGGACGUUACUGACGCUGAGACGCGAAAGCGUGGGGGGCAAACAGG
Molecule: ribosomal RNA, 253 nt
Filed under: uncultured bacterium
Lineage: Bacteria
Description: partial 16S ribosomal RNA
Rfam family: Bacterial small subunit ribosomal RNA
Source: RNAcentral